Triticum urartu is the source of this 125-nucleotide non-coding RNA. NCBI's taxonomy places the organism in Eukaryota, Viridiplantae, Streptophyta, Magnoliopsida, Poales, Poaceae. The record is from Rfam.
GUUGUACUCCCUCCGUCCAGAAAUACUUGUCAUCAAAAUGGAUAAAAGGAGAUGUAUUUUAGUUCUAGAUACAUCCCUUUUUGUCCAUUUUGAUGGCAAGUAUUUCCGGGCGGAGAGAGUAUCUG